Molecule: ribosomal RNA, 788 nt
Filed under: uncultured Staphylococcus sp.
Lineage: Bacteria; Bacillati; Bacillota; Bacilli; Caryophanales; Staphylococcaceae
Description: bacterial SSU rRNA
Rfam family: Bacterial small subunit ribosomal RNA
Source: RNAcentral
UAUAAGACUGGGAUAACUUCGGGAAACCGGGGCUAAUGCCGGAUAAUAUUUAGAACCGCAUGGUUCUAAAGUGAAAGAUGGUUUUACUAUCACUUAUAGAUGGACCCGCGCCGUAUUAGCUAGUUGGUGGGGUAAUGGCUUACCAAGGCAACGAUACGUAGCCGACCUGAGAGGGUGAUCGGCCACACUGGAACUGAGACACGGUCCAGACUCCUACGGGAGGCAGCAGUAGGGAAUCUUCCGCAAUGGGCGAAAGCCUGACGGAGCAACGCCGCGUGAGUGAUGAAGGUCUUCGGAUCGUAAAACUCUGUUAUUAGGGAAGAACAAAUGUGUAAGUAACUGUGCACGUCUUGACGGUACCUAAUCAGAAAGCCACGGCUAACUACGUGCCAGCAGCCGCGGUAAUACGUAGGUGGCAAGCGUCAUCCGGAAUUAUUGGGCGUAAAGCGCGCGUAGGCGGUUCCUUAAGUCUGAUGUGAAAGCCCACGGCUCAACCGUGGAGGGUCAUUGGAAACUGGGAAACUUGAGUGCAGAAGAGGAAAGUGGAAUUCCAUGUGUAGCGGUGAAAUGCGCAGAGAUAUGGAGGAACACCAGUGGCGAAGGCGACUUUCUGGUCUGUAACUGACGCUGAUGUGCGAAAGCGUGGGGAUCAAACAGGAUUAGAUACCCUGGUAGUCCACGCCGUAAACGAUGAGUGCUAAGUGUUAGGGGGUUUCCGCCCCUUAGUGCUGCAGCUAACGCAUUAAGCACUCCGCCUGGGGAGUACGACCGCAAGGUUGAAACUCAAG